UUUGGACUUGCAGGCAUGUUGCA
This 23-nucleotide microRNA is filed under the name Macaca fascicularis (crab-eating macaque). Its description in RNAcentral is "novel_miR101-3p". RNAcentral also lists the same sequence under 1 other name. The record is from RNAcentral. Lineage: Eukaryota; Metazoa; Chordata; Mammalia; Primates; Cercopithecidae.